RNAcentral lists this ribosomal RNA (450 nucleotides) under uncultured bacterium. RNAcentral's name for it is "partial 16S ribosomal RNA". It matches the Rfam family "Bacterial small subunit ribosomal RNA", at positions 354 to 796 of the family's 1533-position model. The record is from RNAcentral.
GUAGGGAAUCUUCCACAAUGGACGAAAGUCUGAUGGAGCAACGCCGCGUGAGUGAAGAAGGUUCUCGGAUCGUAAAACUCUGUUGUGAGGGAAGAACAAGUACCGGAGUAACUGCCGGUACCUUGACGGUACCUCAUUAGAAAGCCACGGCUAACUACGUGCCAGCAGCCGCGGUAAUACGUAGGUGGCAAGCGUUGUCCGGAAUCAUUGGGCGUAAAGCGCGCGCAGGCGGUCCCUUAAGUCUGAUGUGAAAGCCCACGGCUCAACCGUGGAGGGUCAUUGGAAACUGGGGGACUUGAGUGCAGAAGAGGAGAGCGGAAUUCCAAGUGUAGCGGUGAAAUGCGUAGAGAUUUGGAGGAACACCAGUGGCGAAGGCGGCUUUCUGGUCUGUAACUGACGCUGAGGCGCGAAAGCGUGGGGAGCAAACAGGAUUAGAUACCCCGGUAGUCC